GGUUCCAUAGUGUAGCGGUUAGCUUGUCUGCUUUAUACACAGAAGGUCCUGGGUUCGUGCCCAAGUGGAGCCA
This is a non-coding RNA of Pteropus alecto (black flying fox), 73 nucleotides long. The record is from Rfam. Lineage: Eukaryota; Metazoa; Chordata; Mammalia; Chiroptera; Pteropodidae.